AGCAGGUGAUCGAUUGUUCUUCUUACAUCCUCAAGAGUGUGUAUUAUACAUAAUUUGGAGGAGGAACCUAUAAUUGACUUCUUAUGCGAAAACCUUGAACCAAGCUAAGAAAAAACUACUUCUCUUCUAUGUUGCUUGGACUCUCCAAAAUGCUGUCUGCCGUGUCGGAUCCAUCACUCACUCGGCCGCAUUUUUGAAGAGUCUGAGUAACCUAGCUUAUCUUUCCCUUGUCAAUUUGUGCCAAGAAGAGAAAG
RNAcentral lists this unclassified non-coding RNA (254 nucleotides) under Hevea brasiliensis (rubber tree). Lineage: Eukaryota; Viridiplantae; Streptophyta; Magnoliopsida; Malpighiales; Euphorbiaceae. The record is from RNAcentral.